ACACGACUCUCGGCAAUGGAUAUCUCGGCUCUCGCAUCGAUGAAGAGCGCAGCGAAAUGCGAUAUGUGGUGCGAAUUGCAGAAUCCCGCGAACCAUCGAGUCUUUGAACGCAAGUUGCGCCCGAGGCCAACCGGCCAAGGGCACGUCUGCCUGGGCGUCAAGC
This 163-nucleotide ribosomal RNA is filed under the name Dendrobium gratiosissimum. Its description in RNAcentral is "5.8S ribosomal RNA". It matches the Rfam family "5.8S ribosomal RNA". Rfam says of the family: 5.8S ribosomal RNA (5.8S rRNA) is a component of the large subunit of the eukaryotic ribosome. It is transcribed by RNA polymerase I as part of the 45S precursor that also contains 18S and 28S rRNA. Functionally, it is thought that 5.8S rRNA may be involved in ribosome translocation. The record is from RNAcentral. Lineage: Eukaryota; Viridiplantae; Streptophyta; Magnoliopsida; Asparagales; Orchidaceae.